Molecule: ribosomal RNA, 257 nt
Filed under: uncultured bacterium
Lineage: Bacteria
Description: partial 16S ribosomal RNA
Rfam family: Bacterial small subunit ribosomal RNA
Source: RNAcentral
UUCGGCUGCCGGAAAGCGGCGAACGGGUGAGUAACACCUGGGUAAUCUACCUGGGCAGUGGGGGAUAACCUGGGGAAACCCGGGCUAACACCGCAUACGAUGCUGGGUCUUUGGACCUGGUCUGAAAGCUGGCCUCUGCUUGCAAGCUAGCGCUCCCAGAGGAGCCCGCGGCUGAUUAGCUGGUUGGUGGGGUAAUGGCCUACCAAGGCGACGAUCAGUAGCCGGCCUGAGAGGGUGAUCGGCCACACUGGAACUGA